UACGAAGGGGGCUAGCGUUGUUCGGAAUUACUGGGCGUAAAGCGCGCGCAGGCGGUCCUUUAAGUCAGGGGUGAAAGCCCAGAGCUCAACUCUGGAACUGCCUUUGAAACUAGAGGACUUGAGUUCGGGAGAGGUGAGUGGAAUGCCGAGUGUAGAGGUGAAAUUCGUAGAUAUUGGGAAGAACACCGGUGGCGAAGGCGGCGACCUGGUCCGAUACUGACGCUGAGGCGCGAAAGCGUGGGGAGCAAACAGG
Molecule: ribosomal RNA, 253 nt
Filed under: uncultured bacterium
Lineage: Bacteria
Description: partial 16S ribosomal RNA
Rfam family: Bacterial small subunit ribosomal RNA
Source: RNAcentral